RNAcentral lists this ribosomal RNA (328 nucleotides) under uncultured Lachnospiraceae bacterium. RNAcentral describes it as "partial 16S ribosomal RNA". Lineage: Bacteria; Bacillati; Bacillota; Clostridia; Lachnospirales; Lachnospiraceae. The record is from RNAcentral.
GGAGUUUGGGCCGUGUCUCAGUCCCAAUGUGGCCGAUCACCCUCUCAGGCCGGCUAUUGAUCGUAGCUUUGGUAGGCCGUUACCCCACCAACUGGCUAAUCAAACGCGGGUCCAUCCAUGAGCGAAAUUCUUUCCUCACUGUAUCAUGCGAUACCGUAAGCAUAUGGAGUAUUAGCAAGAAUUUCUCCCUGUUAUCCUCCUCUCAUGGGCAGGUUACCCACGCGUUACUCACCCGUCCGCCACUAGAAUUCUCACAUCUUCAACCGAAGUCUCCGUCGUGAGGUUCCCGUUCGACUUGCAUGUGUUAAGCACGCCGCCAGCGUUCAUC